Molecule: long non-coding RNA, 348 nt
Filed under: Homo sapiens (human)
Lineage: Eukaryota; Metazoa; Chordata; Mammalia; Primates; Hominidae
Description: non-protein coding DLEU1:24
Source: RNAcentral
CUUCCAAACCAACAUGUGUGAAACAUAAUGGAGUCUCACUCUGUUACCCAGACUGGAGUGCAGUGGCAUGAUCUCGGCUCUACAACCUCCGCCUCCCAGGUUCAGAUUAUUUGGAAAUUUCCAGCUUUGUGCACUAGACAGAAGACCUUUGACCUCUGGGAUGACAGCAUAAAGGCGAGGGUAGAUUUCUAAAGAAAAGGAUCUGUGAACAUUUAGGAAAGCAAGCAGUGGUCACCAGGAAUUUGUGUGGAUUGCUGAUAAAGAAGUCAUUCUGCACUAACUUCAUCUCUUCUUUGGCAUUAUGGCUCAUCUGAUAAAUAAAUGCAAUAGACAUAUCUUUGGAUUUCA